GAUGAAGAACGUAGCGAAAUGCGAUACGUAAUGUGAAUUGCAGAAUUCAGUGAAUCAUCGAAUCUUUGAACGCAUAUUGCGCUCUCUGGUAUUCCGGAGAGCAUGCUUGUUUGAGUAUCAGUAAACAACUCAACUCCCUUUUCUUUUUUGAAAUUGGAGCUGGACUUGAGUGAUCCCAACGCUUUCUUCCAAGAAAGUGGCGGGUUGCUUGAAAUGCAGGUGCAGCUGAACUUUUCUCUGAGCUAUAAGCAUAUCUAUUUAGUCUGCCUAAAAAACAGAUUAUUACCUUUGCUGCAGCUAACAUAAAGGAGACUAGUUCUUGUGCUGACUGAUGCAGGAUUCACAGAGACAGCUUCGGCUGACUUUGUAAACUCGAUCUCAAAUCAAGUAAGACUACCCGCUGAACUUAAGCAUAUCAAUAAGCGGAGGA
This 430-nucleotide unclassified non-coding RNA is filed under the name soil metagenome. Its description in RNAcentral is "partial contains 5.8S ribosomal RNA, internal transcribed spacer 2, and large subunit ribosomal RNA". The stretch from base 1 to 120 matches the Rfam family "5.8S ribosomal RNA", at positions 35 to 154 of the family's 154-position model. The record is from RNAcentral.